Molecule: unclassified non-coding RNA, 271 nt
Filed under: uncultured fungus
Lineage: Eukaryota; Fungi
Description: partial contains 5.8S ribosomal RNA, internal transcribed spacer 2, and large subunit ribosomal RNA
Rfam family: 5.8S ribosomal RNA (bases 1-52)
Source: RNAcentral
AACGCACAUUGCGCCCGCCAGUAUUCUGGCGGGCAUGCCUGUUCGAGCGUCAUUUCAACCCUCAAGCCCCCGCGCUUGGUGUUGGGGUGCCGGCGUCAAGCGCUGCCCGCAGCGCCCGCCGCCCCCGAAAUCGAUUGGCGGUCUCGUCGCAGCCUCCCUUGCGUAGUAACAUACCACCUCGCAUGGCGGAGCGCGACGCGGCCACGCCGUAAAACGCCCCAAUUUCUCAAGAGUUGACCUCGGAUCAGGUAGGAAUACCCGCUGAACUUAA